CUACAUAGGGGGCAAGCGUUAUCCGGAAUUAUUGGGCGUAAAGGGUGCGUAGGCGGUCUAUUAAGUCUGAGGUGUAAGUGCAGGGCUCAACCCUGUGAUGCUUUAGAAACUGGUAGACUUGAGUGAGAUAGAGGCAAGUGGAAUUCCAUGUGUAGCGGUAAAAUGCGUAAAUAUAUGGAGGAACACCAGUGGCGAAGGCGGUUUGCGGGGUCUAUACUGACGCUGAGGCACGAAAGCGUGGGGAGCAAACAGUAUUAGAUACCCUGGUAGUCCACGCCGUAAACGAUGAGUACUAAGUGUUGCGAGAACGCAGUGCUGAAGUUAACAUAUUAAGUACUCCGCCUGAGUAGUACGUACGCAAGUAUGAAACUCAAAUGAAUUGGCGGGG
RNAcentral lists this ribosomal RNA (388 nucleotides) under uncultured bacterium. RNAcentral describes it as "partial 16S ribosomal RNA". It matches the Rfam family "Bacterial small subunit ribosomal RNA", at positions 523 to 918 of the family's 1533-position model. The record is from RNAcentral.